GCUGGGCGAGGUGGCGGGCGCCUGUACUCCCAGCUACUCGGGAGGCUGAGGCAGGAGAAUGGCGUGAACCCGGGAGGCGGGGCUUGCAGUGAGCUGAGAUCCGGCCACUGCAACCUCUGCCUCCUGGGUUUUAGUGAUUAUCCUGCCUCUU
Molecule: small RNA, 151 nt
Filed under: Papio anubis (olive baboon)
Lineage: Eukaryota; Metazoa; Chordata; Mammalia; Primates; Cercopithecidae
Description: Metazoan signal recognition particle RNA (ENSPANG00000048223.1)
Source: RNAcentral